This 460-nucleotide ribosomal RNA is filed under the name uncultured bacterium. Its description in RNAcentral is "partial 16S ribosomal RNA". It matches the Rfam family "Bacterial small subunit ribosomal RNA", at positions 338 to 795 of the family's 1533-position model. The record is from RNAcentral.
CCUACGUGCGACAGCAGUGAGGAAUUUUGGUCAAUGCACGCAAGUCUGAAGCAGCGAUGCCGCGUGCAGGACGACGGCCCUAUGAGUUGAAAGCUGCUUUUGUACGAGGGAAAACGCAUAUACGCGUAUCUGUCUGAAAGUAUCGUACGUAUAAGGAACGGCUAACCUCGUGCCGGCCGCCGCGGCACUAUGGAGGGGUGAAGCGUUGUCCGGAUUUAUUUGGUUGAACGGGUGCGUAGGCGGUCGGAUAAGUUAGGGGUGAAAUCCCGGGGCUCAACUUCAGAAUUGCCUGUGAUACUAUUCGGCUAGAGAGUAGUUGCGGUAGGCAGAAUGUAUGGUGUAGCGGUGAAAUGCUUAGAGAUCAUACAGAACACCGAUUGCGAAGGCAGCUAACCAAGCUACUUCUGACGUUGAGGCACGAAAGCGUGGGGAGCAAACAGGAUUAGAUACCCGAGUAGUC